AGGAAAGGGCCCUGACAAGAGGAUGGGACUGCAGUUGUGGCUGCCAGGUUGGAGUGCAGUGGCACGAUCUCGGCUCAGUGCAACCUCCGCCUCCUGAGUUCAAGUGAUUCUCCUGCCUCAGCCUCCCUAGUAGCUGGGAUUACAGGUAGACCCAGUGUAAUCACAAGCAUCCUUGUAAGUGGCAAAGAGGCAGAGGAGACAGCGCCAGAGAGGCAGCUGCAUGAGAAGGAUCAAGAUGUUGCUGACUUUGAAGUUGGAAGAAGAAGGCCAUGAGCCUCAGUAUGUGGGCGGCUUCUAGAAGCUGGAAGGGGCAAGGAGAUGGAUUUGACCCUUCAGCCUCCAGGGGCAGCUGUACCUGCCAUCACUGAUUGUAGCCUGGUGAGGCCUGUUUUAGACUUCUGACCUGUAGAGCUGUAACAUAAUACAUUUGGGUUGUUUUCAACCACUAAGUUUGUGGUAAUUUGUUGUAGCAGCUGUAGAAAAUGAAUACAUAUGAAUCCUCUGGCAUUUGUUUGAGAUUUGCUCUAUGGCCUAGUAUGUGGUUGUAAAUGUUCCAUCUGUGCCUGAAAAAAUGUAUAUUUCUAAUUCAGUAGUCUCUGCUUUUUUUUUUUAUUUUGUACCCCAUCAAUAAAAUGAUUUUCAGCAUGUAUCCCCAAAUAAACAAUAUUUUAUUUAUUGAUUGAUUGAUAAACAGACAUGUUUAAUGAUAGCUUGCUUUUCACAGAGGUGACUUCGGAGACUUCUAAUCUAUAAUCCAGGAGUAUAUAACCAUGCAGCACAGACCAAUUAGUCACAUGUAAAAUAAACUAGAUUCUUACCAC
RNAcentral lists this long non-coding RNA (821 nucleotides) under Homo sapiens (human). RNAcentral describes it as "non-protein coding CD27-AS1:9". The record is from RNAcentral. Lineage: Eukaryota; Metazoa; Chordata; Mammalia; Primates; Hominidae.